AUUCAAUACAAACAGGCUUUCCUCAUCUCUAAGGAGAGAAAGUCUAGCAGAUAUGAUUCACAGCCAUCAGAAAUUUGAUGACCUCAUAUCUGCACUCCUAGAAAGGGUUCGGCUCUGCCAUUCACUCCAAAGGGCUAAGCCACCGGCACACCUGAGGUUAAGCCAAUAAAACACAGUAAUUCCUUCAUGCAACUCACCACAGCAGAAAAACAGCUCCCUUUUGCAAAAAUCAAAAAAGCUGAUCACUUUCAAAUUUUCUCUUGUCAUGGAGUAAAAAUUAAGGAAAAACAAUAAUGGUGAUACUACACCAGC
Molecule: long non-coding RNA, 312 nt
Filed under: Homo sapiens (human)
Lineage: Eukaryota; Metazoa; Chordata; Mammalia; Primates; Hominidae
Description: HSALNT0100668
Source: RNAcentral